GAUGAACGCUGGCGGCGUGCCUAAUACAUGCAAGUCGAGCAAACGGACGAGAAGCUUGCUUCUCUGAUGUUAGCGGCGGACGGGUGAGUAACACGUGGAUAACCUACCUAUAAGACUGGGAUAACUUCGGGAAACCGGAGCUAAUACCGGAUGAUAUUUUGAACCGCAUGGUUCAAAAGUGAAAGACGGUCUUGCUGUCACUUAUAGAUGGAUCCGCGCUGCAUUAGCUAGUUGGUAAGGUAACGGCUUACCAAGGCAACGAUGCAUAGCCGACCUGAGAGGGUGAUCGGCCACACUGGAACUGAGACACGGUCCAGACUCCUACGGGAGGCAGCAGUAGGGAAUCUUCCGCAAUGGGCGAAAGCCUGACGGUGCAACGCCGCGUGAGUGAUGAAGGUCUUCGGAUCGUAAAACUCUGUUAUUAGGGAAGAACAUAUGUGUAAGUAACUGUGCACAUCUUGACGGUACCUAAUCAGAAAGCCACGGCUAACUACGUG
RNAcentral lists this ribosomal RNA (497 nucleotides) under uncultured bacterium. RNAcentral's name for it is "partial 16S ribosomal RNA". It matches the Rfam family "Bacterial small subunit ribosomal RNA", at positions 28 to 507 of the family's 1533-position model. The record is from RNAcentral.